This 31-nucleotide non-coding RNA is filed under the name Mus musculus (house mouse). The record is from RNAcentral. Lineage: Eukaryota; Metazoa; Chordata; Mammalia; Rodentia; Muridae.
UGGCUGUUCUCAAUAAUCCAUCCGUGAUGAA